RNAcentral lists this long non-coding RNA (1822 nucleotides) under Salvia miltiorrhiza (redroot sage). RNAcentral describes it as "long non-coding RNA (SMIL_LNC005030)". Lineage: Eukaryota; Viridiplantae; Streptophyta; Magnoliopsida; Lamiales; Lamiaceae. The record is from RNAcentral.
CGUGUUUGAAAUUCACGCUAAUAACCUAGAUUUAGGGAUAAACACGGUAUAAUAUGGUACGAAACGAAGUUAUUUUUUCCAUGUCAUUUAAAAAAAAUAGAAUUAAAUUACGAGCCACAUCACGUUUCUGGUAACUGAAAAAUAGAUGCAGGAUAUAUAUAUUUGAUAAUAACCUUAUAGUUUGAAGGUUUAGAAAAUAUUUUGAAAGUUUCAGGGUAUUUUUGAUAAAGUGAAUAUAGUUGAGGAGUUUUCAUGAUAUUUAACCUAUAAUUAAAUAAGUCCGCACGCAUGCAGGACCUCUACACCACACAAAAGUGGAAAAACUACUCGCACGUAGACGAGAUUAAUGAACCAAAGACCUCUCACAAAUGAGAGCUUUUGGAUGCCUCAACUUUACUACUUGAGUUAGGCCAUAUUGACAACAAUACGUUCUUUUCUUUACGAAAAAAGAGUGAAAAAAAAUUACAUAUUUCAUUUAUUUUAUAUUUCUUUUUCACAUAUCGUAAGGUGGAUAGUUUUCUUAGAGUAUAAUGGAAAAAAAUUGAGCAACUCUAUUUUUCUUUUUUUCACUCAAAUUUAUGAUAAUAUUAUCACGAGUUAUGAAUAUAUAUAAUAUAAUAUAAUAUAAUAUAAUAUAAUAUAAUCUAAUCUUUUUGGGAGUGUUGAUGUGAUAAACUAUAUUUAUAUGUUUUCCACUUUAAAGAACAUGAAAAAAAAACUGAGAUAGAUAAUUCUUUUCCUUCUCAUUAUAAAUUUACAAUUAAAAAGAGGCAUUAGGAGUCUUAUCAUUUAAAAUUUCCCCAAGGGACUUAAAAGUCAAAGUUAUGUCUAAACUACUGAUAUUAUAUGUAUUUUUGUGACGAUGUCGUUAAGUGACCAAUUGACUAGCCACAUAUAUUUUCCCAGCUUUAAAUUUUGGGAUAAUUAGCUCAUAAAUUACUAAAUUUUAAUCAAAAUUUUAGUUUUGCGCAUCAAUUUUAAAAUAUAUUCAUGACGAUUAAGUUUUCAAAUUCAUUUGAUUUUUCUCAUGAGUUGGAUACCAACCCAAUUUAGUGAGGUGAAUUCUAGCCCAAUAACAUGAUCGUAUGAAUUUUUGCCCUUAUGUUUGAAUUGAUUCCAAAUUAAUUAUGUACAAUUUCAAUCGGAAACAAUGAUAUUUUGAUAUGUUAAUUGGGUUGGAAUUUGGUUUUGCUAGGAAAAUCUUAUUAAAUUAAAAUAUUAGUAAUUAUUCGGAAACCAAUAUAUGUAUAAAAGUAGUUUUUUAUUAUAUAUAUACAAUUAACCCUAUACAUAUCUACAUCUAUAAUUUAUAUUUUUGCAAAAUAUAUAUGAGUAAUAAGUUUCGUUUGUAUUAUUGCUUACCGACAUGCUUGUUGUUCUUCAAUUAUGGGCCGCUCAGUUAUAAAUUUGUCGUCAUUUAAUUAAAUUACAUUGAUGGUACGUUGGUGAAUUAUUUUGUUGAGAGAUUUUGUUCUUAUAUUAUUUGUUUUUAUGAAGGCAAAAAUAUGAAAGUGAGAUGACGAUACGCGACAUUUAUAUACAAUAUGGGUAUCACAUCCUACAAAAUUAUACUCGUUGGCAGGCCAGGAAUUAAUUAUAUGUACGUGUCUAGGUUAGGGGGGGCUAGAGCCCCCUCCCAAAUUUUGAUUUUUUUUUAAAUAUAUAUAGAUAUAUGUUUAUACCUAUUAUAAAAUAAUUUUGUUUUAUAAAAGAGUAUUUGGUUAUUAUAUUCUCUCAUAUAUAUACUUAAUUUAAGGAUAAUUCUGUUAUUUAAAACUAUAUAAUCUAUGAAAUAUUGUUUGUUAUUAUUACUAUUAUACUU